AAAUAAAAUUACAAAACUAUAUAAAGCAGGCAAUUAGCUUGUCGUGUAUAAUAUAUACAUUUACAAAAUAAAAACCACUUUAUUUCUUUUCAGCAUAUAUAUACAUCAUACAUUACAAGUUAAUUCUGGUUUUAUGCAGUAUAGGACAAAUAAGAGUUAUCUUUCUUUAUAUCUCAAACAGUAGUUGAAAUGUGUAACCCCAUGUCCUCUUUUUAGUGACCUCAUGCUUUUCAUGAACCUUGUAAUUAGAAUAAAUAAAAGGGUAUAUUAUACACAGUAAGAAAUGACGCAGUUUGAAGAAAUGCAGACUAAGGAGACAAAAACAGCGAGAUAAGUAAAAUACAAUAAGGGAAUGGGAAGACAAAAACACUGAUGUACUUACAAAUUAAUGUUCUUUUUGAAAAAGAAUCAGAAAGUACAGAAAAAAAGUGCAGCAAUAAACGUCACAUAUUCUUGUGAAACGUAUGCAUUUUAUCUAGGACACCAGGGCAUUUAAAACAGAAUUGCAUAGAUAAGAACGAACUGAGUGUGAUGUUCGCGGAGAUUAUUAAUUCAUUAAUAUUUAGAUUGGUUUCUGGUAUUGUUUGUAAGAUUGCAUAUAUAUUUACCAGUAGUAUUAUUUAAAAAAAUGAGUAAAUAAACACAUAAUAAAUAAAGUCAUUAUACAUCCAUACAUAUUUGUGGUUGUUUGAAAUAAUAAAAUGUUUGAUUUUUAUUCA
Mytilus californianus (California mussel) is the source of this 719-nucleotide long non-coding RNA. RefSeq lists it as uncharacterized. The record is from RefSeq and is a predicted model, not a curated record. The transcript has 2 exons. Lineage: Eukaryota; Metazoa; Mollusca; Bivalvia; Mytilida; Mytilidae.